Molecule: transfer RNA, 67 nt
Filed under: Encyrtus aurantii
Lineage: Eukaryota; Metazoa; Arthropoda; Insecta; Hymenoptera; Encyrtidae
Description: tRNA-Glu
Source: RNAcentral
AUUUAUAUAGUUUAUUUUAAAACAUUAUAUUUUCAAUAUAAAAAUAAUUUAUAAAAAUUUAUAAAUU